AAACUUUCAACAACGGAUCUCUUGGUUCUGGCAUCGAUGAAGAACGCAGCGAAAUGCGAUAAGUAAUGUGAAUUGCAGAAUUCAGUGAACCAUCGAAUCUUUGAACGCACAUUGCGCCCUGUGGUAUUCCGCAGGGCAUGCCUGUUCGAGCGUCAUU
This 157-nucleotide ribosomal RNA is filed under the name salal root associated fungus UBCtra152. Its description in RNAcentral is "5.8S ribosomal RNA". It matches the Rfam family "5.8S ribosomal RNA". Rfam says of the family: 5.8S ribosomal RNA (5.8S rRNA) is a component of the large subunit of the eukaryotic ribosome. It is transcribed by RNA polymerase I as part of the 45S precursor that also contains 18S and 28S rRNA. Lineage: Eukaryota; Fungi; Ascomycota. The record is from RNAcentral. RNAcentral also lists the same sequence under 1 other name.